Syngnathoides biaculeatus (alligator pipefish) is the source of this 662-nucleotide long non-coding RNA. RefSeq lists it as uncharacterized. The transcript is spliced from 4 exons. The record is from RefSeq and is a predicted model, not a curated record. NCBI's taxonomy places the organism in Eukaryota, Metazoa, Chordata, Actinopteri, Syngnathiformes, Syngnathidae.
GUCUCAUCCAGGUCCACAUCAGCCUACCGCUAUGACUUUGUGUGUGUGCGUGUGGUGUGAAAGAAGAGGCAGAAACCGAGACUGAGGCAGCCUGCUGCUGGCACAGAGCUCAUGCAGGCACACAUAUGGUUGUCUUAAAUUGACUGACAGGACCCCUUUCAUGUGUGCUGCCCUGCACGCUGGAUGCCAUCAGCCACAUUUAAACGCCGUUGGCUGACAGUGAGAGGGUUACUGAAGGAGAGAAGUCGGAAAGGAAGGGAGGGAAGACUGAUGGAGUGAUGCACCGAACAAAAAAAGCAAUAUUUCUCACCUGACUGCAUCAGCCUUUGUGGCUCCCAAAAGUCACUUGUCAAGAACAAAGUAGCCUGACUACGAUGUUCUCCAGCUAUAUCAGUAUAAUGUGACUUGUGCUGAAACACUGAGAUGAGCUCUUCUGGAAGAAACUCAUUGUCACCAAGCGAGCCUCUCUCGAGUGACAAAAACAAAUCUUGAGGCAAGCAUGCGUCCUACACAAGCGAGACCUACACAAGCAAGAGUGAGAAAAGGUGCUAACGAAUACAGUAUCUGAGUAAAUUGAAGUGUUUUGAAGGGUUUAAAAAUAUUCAAGAUAUGAUGUAGGUGUAUAACUGUUUAAAAAUAUUUUUGUAAUGUUUCUAAAUCAG